Molecule: long non-coding RNA, 1092 nt
Organism: Myotis lucifugus (little brown bat)
Lineage: Eukaryota; Metazoa; Chordata; Mammalia; Chiroptera; Vespertilionidae
Exons: 3
Source: RefSeq, a predicted model, not a curated record
GCCCAGACUGGCCGUGGGAGGGGGGGGUCCUCGCGAGCGGCGCGCUCCCUAAAGUGGGACGCGAGCGCGAGGCCCGCGGCUUUUGUUGAGGAGAAAGUCGGAAUCGGGUGUCUCUUCAAGCUGAGGGGCCACUCACCACCACCCCAUCUUGGUGGUUCCUCCAGGAGUCAACAGCUCCCUCAUCCUUCUUGGUAAGAACAGAAGUAUCUUAUUAACUCCAUAAUCAUCUUAAGUUUCUAAUGUUACAAAUUUUUAGUUAAAAACACCUAAAUUGUGAUGAUGUUGCUAUAAUGAGAGGUGCUGAGCACCCACUCUGAGCAUGCACAGUGCUCUGCACUUGUUCCUUCAGACCUCAGGAGCCCAGUGAGCUGGGUGGUUUGUUCCUGUUCCACAGCUGAGGACCUGCAUGUACAGAGACUGAUUUCCCCACGCCAUCUCCUUUUUGAAAAGGGGAAAGGGCCUUAUUUCUGCAACCUCCAUGCACAUUGAAGUGAUGGGGGUGCUCUCUGUUUCCCUCUUCCCUGCAGCUAAGGCGGCAGAACCAAGGAGGUUGGGCUUUUGCUGUUGUUAAUCCUCACCCAAGGGUAUUUUUUCCUUUUUUUUUUUCUUUUUUUUUUUAGAGAGUGUAAGGUAGAGGGAGAGACACAUCAAUAGGCUGCCUCCCAUGUGCAUCCUGACCUGGACUGGGGAUUGAGCUUGCAACCAAGAGUCAAAUCCAGGACUGUUCAGUCCAUGGGCCAACACUCUAACCACUUAGCUGAACUGGAAACUGGAUAGGGCUAAAGAGGUUGGUUUUGAUCCCCACUAAUGCCACUUUGACCUGAGGAGUCAUCUGUGACUUGCCUGCUUGGCUGCGGUGGAGGUUCCUGUGUGGGUGCUGUGGCCUGGACUUACAGCAGAGUCGCCAGGGAGCAGCCCCCAAAACUGCCAAUCUACCCCUGAAUCAUGUGACUGCCACUGUGCAGAGAUGGGACACGUAGGGGUGUGUAAGGAGGUAGAUGUAGGACGGGUGAGCAACCUUUUUGUGAGUGCAUGCCAAAACCAGCAAAAUCUCUGACUCAAAAUUCUUCUGCGUGCCAACCCUAAUUUUUU